This 468-nucleotide ribosomal RNA is filed under the name uncultured bacterium. Its description in RNAcentral is "partial 16S ribosomal RNA". It matches the Rfam family "Bacterial small subunit ribosomal RNA", at positions 28 to 507 of the family's 1533-position model. The record is from RNAcentral.
GACGAACGCUGGCGGCGUGCUUAACACAUGCAAGUCGAACGGAAAGGCCCUGCUUUUGUGGGGUGCUCGAGUGGCGAACGGGUGAGUAACACGUGAGUAACCUGCCCUUGACUUUGGGAUAACUUCAGGAAACUGGGGCUAAUACCGGAUAGGAGCUCCUGCUGCAUGGUGGGGGUUGGAAAGUUUCGGCGGUUGGGGAUGGACUCGCGGCUUAUCAGCCUGUUGGUGGGGUAGUGGCUUACCAAGGCUUUGACGGGUAGCCGGCCUGAGAGGGUGACCGGCCACUUUGGGACUGAGGUAGGGGCCAGACUCCUAGGGGAGGCAGCAGUGGGGAAUAUUGCACAAUGGGCGGAAGCCUGAUGCAGCAACGCCGCGUGCGGGAUGACGGCCUUCGGGUUGUAAACCGCUUUCGCCUGUGACGAAGCGUGAGUGACGGUAAUGGGUAAAGAAGCACCGGCUAACUACGUG